ACGAUCCUUUUUACCGUCAGCCUUUUUACCCUAUGAAGAUCCCAUAUCCUUAUUACCAUUUCGCAUUUUGCUCCAAGAUGACUCUCCAUCAUCCUUUUUACCCCAAGAUGAUCCAUAGCUUAGUCCCCACAAUCUGAAAUCGGUUUUCUCCUACUGUCUUGCCGGCAGUCCCUUGGCCGCCCCGGUUUGCUUCUUCCUCGUCGGCGGGCCCACGCCAUGGUUGUGGGACCCGCGCCCUUUUUUUUUUUUUAAUCUAUGGAAACGAGUUUGACUGUUAUAUCGGAAUGCCAGGAGUUCAUUUCUUUGCAGGGUUUAAUUCCUCUGUGAAGCUGCGCACGCCUCGGCCUUGCGUCCGUCUCUCCUCCCCCGGCCUUCCCGGCCCGGUGUGGGGCGGUGUCGCUGGCGAGACAUUUCCCUCCAGCUCGUAGGUCCGACUUUCCAUUCCCCCUUUUUCUUGCGUGCUAGGCGACUAAUCCCUCUGUAUACUUGCCUUACAACUCCUUGUUACCCAUUUUUGAACCUCUGAAACUCCACUACACCGUGGUACGAGGACUUUUUGUUGAUCUGAUCUUGGCCGGAGACUCUGAGCUGUUCGAUUUCUCCUUCAACAUUAGCUAUGUCGGUCUAUCAGAACCAUAAGGGAAAUAGGCAAUGGCGGAAACGCUGAUCCCUUAAGUUAGUAUUAAGGGACAUUAACCUAGCUCUGAUACAAAUUGUAACACCCGCCCCUUCCCCAUUUCCGACCGGGGUUCCUGGGCGCGGGGUUGAGGACACACAUGUCUACUUUCCCGACAUCUUCGUGUGUCCCGUUACUGGUCCCAUGAGUUUCAGGUGCAUUUCCUUCCUUACCGCUGACAUUUCCACUUAUAGUUCUGCAAAAAUUGGAGAUGGAAAAGAGGGGUGAGUAUUAAUACUCAGUGAAGUGAUUCUAGACCAGUCUCCCCCAUGAGCCUCUAUACGGCUCAAUGCAAAACGAGAACCGUCUAGUCACUACACUCAGUUCGAUGCAACCUAUUAGCUAGUUACUCAUGUUUCAUUUCACAAAUCAGGCACUGUAAUGAACUCAGUCAUAACUCAAUUCAUAGAAUUCGGUUUAUUAUUUAAGACUCCCCAUCAUCCUAGGACUUUAGGACCUACACAGCUCAAGCGGACCAUUACUCCCCUUUUCUUGCUGCUUCCUGUGAAGUCGCCUGCCCUGGUAGGCCCGUCACCCAGUUCCUCGGGUACGGACCGCCUUUGCAGUGUAUUACGACCCCUUCCCGCCAAGACUCGGCGUGACUGAAUCUUACCGGCGCCUCUAUUCUUACCCUGCCAUUUUUAUCCGAUGCUAUGGCCCCGCAUCUCUGCCGUUUUUGAACACUAUGGCCGCCGUGUUAUCUUUCUUUCCACCCUCCCCGGGUAAUUUAUCCCACCCUUCCCGGGUAAUUUAUCCCACCCUUCCCGGGUAAUUUACUAAUCAUUCAUUCUUCUUUCCUUUUUCUUAUCAUUUCCUUUUCCUUAUUCUUUAGACUCUUUCAUACUUUUCUUUUUAGACGCCACCCGUUCUCGGUGUCACACUCAAUUCAGUAAACAACCAUUUCACGGAUGUCCUAUCAUUCAUCUAAUCAACCGGUUAACGUUUACUAUUAACCUAUUUUUAAUUCCUUCUAAGCAUCCUAGCUUUCAACCACAAACAAGAGUAGAUCAUCGACCAAUCAAUCAUUUAUCAUUCAAUCAACACAAACAAUCCAUUUACUGUCCUUAAUCAGUAUGAGCGUUCUUAUGCAGUAUGAUCUAUCAACCUAACAUCAAUCAGGAUCUAAACCAUCCUAAUUCCUCAUUCAACAAUAUAAAAGAUCAUGAACAAGAUCUGGAACAGAACACCUCACCUUAGCCUAGAUCUGGAUCUGGAUCUGAGAUGAGAGGCAAGAGAGAUGAGAUCUGAGGUCAACGGCACCACACAGCUACCACGACCACUCGCGGCUGCUCACGGCAAGGAGAGAGAGAGGCGGCGUGGAGAGAGAGAGAGGAGGCGCGGCGAGGAGAGAGAGAUGAGGUGGCGCGGAAAAGAGAGAGAAAGAGGAGAAAGGCGGUAUGGGAGAGAGAAAAGAUGUCGACGGCUAGGGCUUCUUGUUUCUGGGAAUUCUCUUCAGGGCUUCGCUUCUAGAUUUCUGAUGAGAGGAAAAGAAGUGGAGGCUUGCUUUUAUAAGGGAAAGAGAAAGGGAAAACCCUAGGGUUUUCUAAUUGGGCUGUAGAGAACCCUUUAGCAUUUAAAAAAUUUAAAUGGGCUGGUUUUGGGGUGUUACAAUUUUCCUCCUCUUAUUCGGAAUUCGUCUCGAAUUCCAAAUCUUCAGUUCGAACUUAACAUCCUAAAACUAGGGUGAGUUUCCAAACACAAUCAAGGGAAGCACGACAUAGGCGUCCUACUUGCUCAAGAUCAUUUUAAAGCAACAAUGAAUUUAAUAAAUGAAAUGGAGUAGGACUACAACAAUAAAUAGGUCCCAAGGUAUUGCCAAAAUCCGCGAAUAUCCUUAUAACAAGAAACAAAAAGCUAAAACCAUUAUGAAAGAAGAAAAAAUUGUUUCCUACUCCUACUAGCUGACUCAGGUACCAGCACUAGCCACUUCGAACUGGAGACUUCUGCUCCCCUUCCGGCUUAGGACCAGCCGCGCGGCCACUCCAGGUCGACGACGCCGGCUCCUCUUCCCACUCUGAGUCCUCCGAUGGAUCCUCUUCCACUUGGCGACGAGCCGACGAGUAAGUGUCCGUUCAGCCUCCAUCGCCUGACCGGCCAUCCGGUUCACCAAGGAGAAUUCCAAUGGUUCCAACACACCAAUCAGCUUGCCCCGAAUCUCCUCGCGGAAACCUGCCUUAUACCACCAGCACCAAUCCUCCGCUGUCUUGGGCUUGCAUCUUUUGGCUGACUCCAGGAAUUCCACUGUGUACUCCCGGACUGAGCGCGUUCCUUGCCUGGCCUGCAUCAAUGUUCCACACCGACAUACACCGGUUAUGCUCCUCAGGCUCUCUGCAUCAAUGCUCGGAAUCUUCCUUGGGCGUCCACGUUUCCCCAUUGGUACACUGUCCUCCAUCCUGAUCGGUCCAGGACCUUCCCUAGUCGGCCCCGUCUUCCUUGGCGCCUUCGGCCCCUUGUGGGCGGUGUCAUGUCAACUUCAGGUGCAAACUGGAAAGUCCCCUGACCCUGGUACAAUCGCCUGUACUCGGCUACCCGCUGGAAAUGGGGCAUCAAAACCCGACGCCUCACGGUCGUCUCCUGGAUAGGGGCGUUCGGCUGCUCCGCGAACUCCAUUUCCUCUUCGUCUGGGAAGAGUGCAGGUACCAUGUCACCCCAUGCGUCACAGUAGGGCUUGCGGGCGUACGCCCUUGUCCCUUUUGGUCCAUAGCGCAUGCGUCUUUCUCCGAGCUCAUGAUGCACAGGUGAAGACAUCCUGCAGCGUAAAAAAAAAACCUGAUCAGAACAUAAUAGUAGUCAUGCAUAGAUGACAGUUUUCAAUCAUUUUUCAAAACUAGUGCUGCUUCAGCAUUCCAUAAAAUAUCAUCCACGGUGUGAUUCUUAUCGUCCCUUUUUGCCCCAUGACGAUCCUUUUUACCGUCAGCCUUUUUACCCUAUGAAGAUCCCAUAUCCUUAUUAGCAUUUCGCAUUUUGCUCCAAGAUGACUCUCCAUCAUCCUUUUUACCCCAAGAUGAUCCUUAGCUUAGUCCUCACAAUCUGAAAUCGGUUUUCUCCUACUGUCUUGCCGGCAGUCCCUUGGCCGCCCCGGUUUGCUUCUUCCUCGUCGGCGGGCCCACGCCAUGGUUGUGGGACCCGCGCCCUUUUUUUUUUUUUAAUCUAUGGAAACGAGUUUGACUGUUAUAUCGGAAUGCCAGGAGUUCAUUUCUUUGCAGGGUUUAAUUCCUCUGUGAAGCUGUGCACGCCUCGGCCUUGCGUCCGUCUCUCCUCCCCCGGCCUUCCCGGCCCGGUGUGGGGCGAUGUCGCUGGCGAGACAUUUCCCUCCAGCUCGAAGGUCCGACUUUCCAUUCCCCCUUUUUCUUGCGUGCUAGGCGACUAAUCCCUCUGUAUACUUGCCUUACAACUCCUUGUUACCCAUUUUUGAACCUCUGAAACUCCACUACACCGUGGUACGAGGACUUUUUGUUGAUCUGAUCUUGGCCGGAGACUCUGAGCUGUUCGAUUUCUCCGUCAACAUUAGCUAUGUCGGUCUAUCAGAACCAUAAGGGAAAUAGGCAAUGGCGGAAACGCUGAUCCCUUAAGUUAAUAUUAAGGGACAUUAACCUAGCUCUGAUACAAAUUGUAACUCCCGCC
This 4300-nucleotide long non-coding RNA is filed under the name Brassica rapa (field mustard). Its description in RNAcentral is "long non-coding RNA (BRAP_LNC008923)". Lineage: Eukaryota; Viridiplantae; Streptophyta; Magnoliopsida; Brassicales; Brassicaceae. The record is from RNAcentral.